CUGACCUGUAGAUAUCCCGCCUACCGACCAAUAAUAAACGGUCUAUGUUACUACUGUCCAAUCAGCUUUCCACUCGUCCCAUCUCUGUCCAAUCAGCUGCAGCUUCCCUUCCCGCGCUGUUGAAGUUUGCGUGUGAGAGAAGAGUGACGCAGGGACAGGAGCGUCAGUAAGAACUAGUCAUUAUGGUGAGAGACUGAAGAACUAUGUGUUUGUUAUCAGUAUGGCUGCGUGAGAAAGAAGAAUUAUAGGGUUAUUGAUUUUUCUCUUGGGGAAAACUGUUAAUUGUACGCUUCGUUUAAUCCACAUCGAAUGCUCCAUUGAUACGCUGUACUUUUCCCACCUAUUCAGUUUGUUGGCUCGGUGGACCAAAGUUGCGCCGUUCCGCGUCCGUAGACACGAGUGAACUCUGAGCUGGUGUGGCACUUUGGGACAAAUGACACUAGCUUAUUGAUUCAUUCGCCUGCUGGGGUAAAACUGUCUGUUACUCACCACAUUUAAUUCACAUGCACUUCAGUAUUUGCAUUCGGAUCUUUUAAGACACACGAGGUAGGAUACCACACUGUCAUUUACAAUGUGACAAAGCUUUCGCAACACCACAGCAACGCUAGAUGGAAAGGGUAACUUUCUCAGGGGUGUUUGCUGAUUUAUGUUUUUGUUACAUUACAGCUGCAGGAAACGCAGCAAAUAGAACUUAAAGGGAAAGUUCAACUUUGGAUGCAAGUACCUAUAAUGAAUGGUGUCAAGUC
Long non-coding RNA from Xenopus laevis (African clawed frog), 746 nucleotides. RefSeq lists it as uncharacterized. The transcript is spliced from 4 exons. The record is from RefSeq and is a predicted model, not a curated record. NCBI's taxonomy places the organism in Eukaryota, Metazoa, Chordata, Amphibia, Anura, Pipidae.